Molecule: ribosomal RNA, 468 nt
Filed under: uncultured bacterium
Lineage: Bacteria
Description: partial 16S ribosomal RNA
Rfam family: Bacterial small subunit ribosomal RNA
Source: RNAcentral
GACGAACGCUGGCGGCGUGCUUAACACAUGCAAGUCGAACGGAAAGGCCCUGCUUUUGUGGGGUGCUCGAGUGGCGAACGGGUGAGUAACACGUGAGUAACCUGCCCUUGACUUUGGGAUAACUUCAGGAAACUGGGGCUAAUACCGGAUAGGAGCUCCUGCUGCAUGGUGGGGGUUGGAAAGUUUCGGCGGUUGGGGAUGGACUCGCGGCUUAUCAGCUUGUUGGUGGGGUAGUGGCUUACCAAGGCUUUGACGGGUAGCCGGCCUGAGAGGGUGACCGGCCACAUUGGGACUGAGAUACGGCGCAGACGCCUACGGGAGGCAGUAGUGGGGAAUAUUGCACAAUGGGCGGAAGCGUGAUGCAGCAACGCCGCGUGCGGGAUGACGGCCUUCGGGGUGUAAACCGCUUUCGCCUGUGACGAAGCGUGAGUGACGGUAAUGGGUAAAGAAGCACCGGCUAACUACGUG